GAUAAACGCUGGCGGCGUGCAUAACACAUGCAAGUCGAACGAGUGGCGAACGGGUGAGUAACACGUGAGUAACCUGCCUUACACAAGGGGAUAGCCUCUGGAAACGGAGAAUAAUACCCUAUAGUGUAAGAUGGACUUGCGUCUGAUUAGCUAGUUGGUGAGAUAAAAGUCACCAAGGCGCGAUCAGUAGCCGGCUUGAGAGGGUGACCGGACACAUUGGGACGGAGAUACGGCCCAGACUCCUACGGGAGGCAGCAGUGGGGGAUAUUGCACAAUGGGCGAAAGCCUGAUGCAGCGACGCCGCGUGGGGGAUGAAGGCUUUCGGGUUGUAAACCUCUUUCGCUAUCGAAAGGGUAGGUGGAGAAGAAGCGCCGGCUAACUACGUGCCAGCAGCCGCGGUAAUAC
This 405-nucleotide ribosomal RNA is filed under the name uncultured bacterium. RNAcentral's name for it is "partial 16S ribosomal RNA". It matches the Rfam family "Bacterial small subunit ribosomal RNA", at positions 28 to 526 of the family's 1533-position model. The record is from RNAcentral.